RNAcentral lists this ribosomal RNA (703 nucleotides) under Staphylococcus aureus. RNAcentral describes it as "partial 23S ribosomal RNA". It matches the Rfam family "Bacterial large subunit ribosomal RNA", at positions 853 to 1557 of the family's 2925-position model. The record is from RNAcentral. Lineage: Bacteria; Bacillati; Bacillota; Bacilli; Caryophanales; Staphylococcaceae.
UCUCUCCGAAAUAGCUUUAGGGCUAGCCUCAAGUGAUGAUUAUUGGAGGUAGAGCACUGUUUGGACGAGGGGCCCCUCUCGGGUUACCGAAUUCAGACAAACUCCGAAUGCCAAUUAAUUUAACUUGGGAGUCAGAACAUGGGUGAUAAGGUCCGUGUUCGAAAGGGAAACAGCCCAGACCACCAGCUAAGGUCCCAAAAUAUAUGUUAAGUGGAAAAGGAUGUGGCGUUGCCCAGACAACUAGGAUGUUGGCUUAGAAGCAGCCAUCAUUUAAAGAGUGCGUAAUAGCUCACUAGUCGAGUGACACUGCGCCGAAAAUGUACCGGGGCUAAACAUAUUACCGAAGCUGUGGAUUGUCCUUUGGACAAUGGUAGGAGAGCGUUCUAAGGGCGUUGAAGCAUGAUCGUAAGGACAUGUGGAGCGCUUAGAAGUGAGAAUGCCGGUGUGAGUAGCGAAAGACGGGUGAGAAUCCCGUCCACCGAUUGACUAAGGUUUCCAGAGGAAGGCUCGUCCGCUCUGGGUUAGUCGGGUCCUAAGCUGAGGCCGACAGGCGUAGGCGAUGGAUAACAGGUUGAUAUUCCUGUACCACCUAUAAUCGUUUUAAUCGAUGGGGGGACGCAGUAGGAUAGGCGAAGCGUGCGAUUGGAUUGCACGUCUAAGCAGUAAGGCUGAGUAUUAGGCAAAUCCGGUACUCGUUAAGGCU